UCCAUGUUGGUCAGGCUGGUAUUGAACUCCCAACCUCAGGUGAUCCACCUGCCUUGGCCUCUCAAAGUGCUGGGAUUACAGGCGUGAGCCACCAUGCCCGGCCACGUAUCUGGGAGUUAAAACCACCAUAUCUGGGAGUUCUUGGCCAGGCCGUGUCAUAUUGUCAUUCCUGACAAUAGAGGAAGAUUAGAACUGCACCUGACAAUAGAGGAAGAUUAGAACUGCAUCAGAAUUUUGUUUUCUGGACCACACUAUUGCAGUCCCCAGAAGAGUGUCACGGGUCAGCCACUGCUGAACACAAGGAUGAGGACAGUCGGAAUGCUAAAUGCCCAGCCCAGCCCACCCAGCCCAGUCCAAAAGCAGCCUUUUUUUUCCUUUUUCUUUUCUUUUUUUUUUCUUAGUGAAAUAGUAACAGACUAUAGGGAGGCAAUAGCUGUCUCUGGGACUAUCAAGACACCAGCUCAGCUGCGCAGCAGACAAAUGUCACUUUUCUGAUACAGGUGGCCCUAAUCAGAGAGAUCCUACUACAGCUGGUGCUCAAAAAUAACCUUUCCCCCUCUCUGAUUUACCCAGGCAAGUGAAAGAAGACAGACUCCAGGAUUACAUUCUCCAGAGCAUGAGCUGCGUAUAUCACUCGCGAACCUUCCAG
This 649-nucleotide long non-coding RNA is filed under the name Homo sapiens (human). RNAcentral's name for it is "non-protein coding lnc-SPRY4-1:1". The record is from RNAcentral. Lineage: Eukaryota; Metazoa; Chordata; Mammalia; Primates; Hominidae.